This 567-nucleotide small RNA is filed under the name Pongo abelii (Sumatran orangutan). RNAcentral describes it as "processed transcript". Lineage: Eukaryota; Metazoa; Chordata; Mammalia; Primates; Hominidae. The record is from RNAcentral.
AGCCGCCACUUCCGAGAGCGCCUGCCGCCCGUGCGCCGCCGAGCCAGCUGCCAGAAUGCCGAACUGGGGAGGAGGCAAGAAAUGUGGGGUGUGUCAGAAGACGGUUUACUUUGCCGAAGAGGUUCAGUGCGAAGGCAACAGCUUCCAUAAAUCCUGCUUCCUGUGCAUGGUCUGCAAGAAGAAUCUGGACAGUACCACUGUGGCUGUGCAUGGUGAGGAGAUCUACUGCAAGUCCUGCUACGGCAAGAAGUAUGGGCCCAAAGGCUAUGGCUACGGGCAGGGCGCAGGCACCCUCAGCACUGACAAGGGGGAGUCGCUGGGUAUCAAGCACGAGGAAGCCCCUGGCCACAGGCCCACCACCAACCCCAAUGCAUCCAAAUUUGCCCAGAAGAUUGGUGGCUCCGAGCGCUGCCCCCGAUGCAGCCAGGCAGUCUAUGCUGCGGAGAAGGUGAUUGGUGCUGGGAAGGAAUUGUUAUGAGGUCACAGUGAAGAUCCUUGCCAUUGACUAAAGGAUAUUAAAACAGGAGACAUUAAUAUUAUUAUUAAGUUGGGUUUUUUGUUCUAUCU